GACGAACGCUGGCGGCGUGCCUAAUACAUGCAAGUAGAACGCACAGUUUAUACCGUAGCUUGCUACACCAUAAACUGUGAGUUGCGAACGGGUGAGUAACGCGUAGGUAACCUGCCUGGUAGCGGGGGAUAACUAUUGGAAACGAUAGCUAAUACCGCAUAAUAUUGAUUAUUGCAUGAUAAUUGAUUGAAAGAUGCUAUUGCAUCACUACCAGAUGGACCCGCGUUGUAUUAGCUAGUAGGUGAGGUAACGGCUCACCUAGGCGACGAUACAUAGCCGACCUGAGAGGGUGAUCGGCCACACUGGGACUGAGACACGGCCCAGACUCCUACGGGAGGCAGCAGUAGGGAAUCUUCGGCAAUGGACGAAAGUCUGACCGAGCAACGCCGCGUGAGUGAAGAAGGUUUUCGGAUCGUAAAGCUCUGUUGUAAGAGAAGAACGGGUGUGAGAGUGGAAAGUUCACACUGUGACGGUAUCUUACCAGAAAGGGACGGCUAACUACGUG
This 505-nucleotide ribosomal RNA is filed under the name uncultured bacterium. RNAcentral describes it as "partial 16S ribosomal RNA". It matches the Rfam family "Bacterial small subunit ribosomal RNA", at positions 28 to 507 of the family's 1533-position model. The record is from RNAcentral.